AGCGGCGGACGGGUGAGUAACACGUGGGUAACCUGCCUGUAAGACUGGGAUAACUCCGGGAAACCGGGGCUAAUACCGGAUGCUUGAUUGAACCGCAUGGUUCAAUUAUAAAAGGUGGCUUUUAGCUACCACUUACAGAUGGACCCGCGGCGCAUUAGCUAGUUGGUGAGGUAACGGCUCACCAAGGCAACGAUGCGUAGCCGACCUGAGAGGGUGAUCGGCCACACUGGGACUGAGACACGGCCCAGACUCCUACGGGAGGCAGCAGUAGGGAAUCUUCCGCAAUGGACGAAAGUCUGACGGAGCAACGCCGCGUGAGUGAUGAAGGUUUUCGGAUCGUAAAACUCUGUUGUUAGGGAAGAACAAGUACCGUUCGAAUAGGGCGGUACCUUGACGGUACCUAACCAGAAAGCCACGGNUAACUACGUGCCAGCAGCCGCGGUAAUACGUAGGUGGCAAGCGUUGUCCGGAAUUAUUGGGCGUAAAGCGCGCGCAGGCGGUUUCUUAAGUCUGAUGUGAAAGCCCCCGGCUCAACCGGGGAGGGUCAUUGGAAACUGGGGAACUUGAGUGCAGAAGAGGAGAGUGGAAUUCCACGUGUAGCGGUGAAAUGCGUAGAGAUGUGGAGGAACACCAGUGGCGAAGGCGACUCUCUGGUCUGUAACUGACGCUGAGGCGCGAAAGCGUGGGGAGCGAACAGGAUUAGAUACCCUGGUAGUCCACGCCGUAAACGAUGAGUGCUAAGUGUUAGAGGGUUUCCGCCCUUUAGUGCUGCAGCAAACGCAUUAAGCACUCCGCCUGGGGAGUACGGUCGCAAGACUGAAACUCAAAGGAAUUGACGGGGGCCCGCACAAGCGGUGGGAG
RNAcentral lists this ribosomal RNA (861 nucleotides) under bacterium MR.1. Its description in RNAcentral is "bacterial SSU rRNA". It matches the Rfam family "Bacterial small subunit ribosomal RNA", at positions 94 to 938 of the family's 1533-position model. The record is from RNAcentral.